CCUACGGGUGGCAGCAGUAGGGAAUCUUCCACAAUGGGCGAAAGCCUGAUGGAGCAACGCCGCGUGGGUGAAGAAGGUCUUCGGAUCGUAAAACCCUGUUGUUAGAGAAGAAAGUGCGUGAGAGUAACUGUUCACGUUUCGACGGUAUCUAACCAGAAAGCCACGGCUAACUACGUGCCAGCAGCCGCGGUAAUACGUAGGUGGCAAGCGUUAUCCGGUUUUAUUGGGCGUAAAGGGAACGCAGGCGGUCUUUUAAGUCUGAUGUGAAAGCCUUCGGCUUAACCGGAGUAGUGAGUUGGAUACUGGGAGACUUGAGAGCAGAAGAGGAGAGUGGAA
This 336-nucleotide ribosomal RNA is filed under the name uncultured bacterium. RNAcentral's name for it is "partial 16S ribosomal RNA". It matches the Rfam family "Bacterial small subunit ribosomal RNA", at positions 338 to 666 of the family's 1533-position model. The record is from RNAcentral.